This is an RNA transcript of Drosophila simulans, 849 nucleotides long. RefSeq lists it as uncharacterized. The transcript has 3 exons. The record is from RefSeq and is a predicted model, not a curated record. NCBI's taxonomy places the organism in Eukaryota, Metazoa, Arthropoda, Insecta, Diptera, Drosophilidae.
AUGUCGUACUUACUCACGGAAAUCGCGCUGGAGAUGCUGGGCUACAAGUUCUACGACACCAAUGGCACAUUCCACCUCACCAACUUUCAAAACAACUCCACGCUCAGCGAAACGCAUCCCGAUGAGCCCUCGCUGCAGGAGUUCAUUGAGUAUACAAAUGAGGAGCCGAAGCAGGAGCCGCAACAGCAGGAACCGCACACGCAGGCUGUGCAGGAGGAGGCGUACCUGGAUGCCCCCACCAUACCCGAAUUCCGCGUUGCACGGCGCACUCCGGCCAAGGCGCUGGCCAAGAUAAUGGACUACGAGAGCGAGAAGAUAGUCAACCAGAUCAACACUCGUCUGGAGCGCUCAGUGACACGUCGGGCGGCGGCUGACAGCCACGAGCAGCUGGCCGAGAUCAUCAACGAGGAGAGGAAGCUAAUUGAGGCGGAUGCCGAGGUUAUUCACGACUUUCGCGAGCUCGUGCAGAGCCGACUGCAGCGAUUGGACAAGCGGCCCUACGAUAAAUACCACUUUCUCUUUCUCUUACUGCGCCAGUGUGUCCACCCUUGCCCAUGUGCUGCCCAGCGAUAGCCCCGUCUAUCGGAUCCACUGUCAUCUCUAGCAGCACAGCACGAGUAAAGGCUCAGGUCAGCCCGCAUCUCGGCUGCCAAUUAAGGAUAUAAAGCCCUCCCCGGACGGUGACGACAACGGCGCUUGCAUAAUGAAAAUCUGGACAUCGGAGCACAUAUUCAACCACCCGUGGGAGACGGUCACGCAGGCGGCGUGGCGCAAGUACCCCAAUCCGAUGACGCCCUCCAUCAUUGGCACGGACGUGGUCGAGCGCCGUGUGGUGGACGGCGUCCUGCA